Molecule: ribosomal RNA, 253 nt
Filed under: uncultured bacterium
Lineage: Bacteria
Description: partial 16S ribosomal RNA
Rfam family: Bacterial small subunit ribosomal RNA
Source: RNAcentral
UACAGAGGGUGCAAGCGUUGCUCGGAAUUACUGGGCGUAAAGCGUGCGUAGGCGGUCUCAUAAGUCGGGUGUGAAAGCCCUAGGCUCAACCUAGGAACUGCGCCCAAUACUGUGAGACUUGAGUGUCGGAGAGGAUAGUGGAAUUCCCAGUGUAGAGGUGAAAUUCGUAGAUAUUGGGAGGAACACCAGUGGCGAAGGCGGCUAUCUGGACGAACACUGACGCUGAGACACGAGAGCGUGGGGAGCAAACAGG